AGUCCAUGAUGCGGGCAUUGUCUAAGUAUAUUACUAAAUCUAUCCCAUGCUUUAAAUAAUGAUUCAUAGUCUGACUGCCUGAUGCUUGCUAUCAUAUUUCUCAUAUG
Molecule: small nucleolar RNA, 107 nt
Organism: Zingiber officinale
Lineage: Eukaryota; Viridiplantae; Streptophyta; Magnoliopsida; Zingiberales; Zingiberaceae
Source: RefSeq, a predicted model, not a curated record